CUGCAGUUUAAUUCCUUGUUCUUCUCUUACAGGAGCUUAUCAAAUGAUGUAAGGAAGACGGAUACCACAUUUCUUAUUCAGUCCAUCCUAAGUGACGUAGAAGGAACAUCACGCUUAGAAGAGACAGAUUCAUCCUCAUUUUCGUGGAGACGUUUUCUCGUAGCAACUGGCUAAAAGAAAGAUGCAGCAGGAUGGCUACAUUAAUCAGGUACAACAGAGCCUGACUGUUUUGUCUACUACAGAAUUACAGAUGUUGGAUAAAGUCUCCCUCCUGUAACCAAAACAGCAGCAUGACUAAUGAGUGUUUCUCUCCAGUGAUCUAAUGGUAAGUGAUCCUUCUCAUGUAAGACGCUGCCCUUACUCCCUUUUCUGUCUUAGCUGCUCCCCACUUUGACUACUGUUUAAAAUAAUGCU
Molecule: long non-coding RNA, 414 nt
Filed under: Gallus gallus (chicken)
Lineage: Eukaryota; Metazoa; Chordata; Aves; Galliformes; Phasianidae
Description: long non-coding RNA NONGGAT002857
Source: RNAcentral